Molecule: ribosomal RNA, 528 nt
Filed under: uncultured bacterium
Lineage: Bacteria
Description: bacterial SSU rRNA
Rfam family: Bacterial small subunit ribosomal RNA
Source: RNAcentral
UCAGGAUGAACGCUGGCGGCGUGCCUAACACAUGCAAGUCGAACGAAGCAAUUAAAGGAAGUUUUCGGAUGGAAUUGAUUGACUGAGUGGCGGACGGGUGAGUAACACGUGGGUAACCUGCCCAUAAGAGGGGGAGUAACAUCCGGAAACGGGUGCUAAUACCGCAUAGUUUUCUUGAUCGCAUGAUCGGGAAAGGAAAGACGGCCUUUGUGCUGUCGCUUAUGGAUGGACCCGCGGCGUAUUAGUUAGUUGGUGAGGUAACGGCUCACCAAGACGAUGAUACGUAGCCGACCUGAGAGGGUGAUCGGCCACAUUGGGACUGAGACACGGCCCAAACUCCUACGGGAGGCAGCAGUAGGGAAUCUUCCGCAAUGGACGAAAGUCUGACGGAGCAACGCCGCGUGAGUGAAGAAAAGGUUUUCGGAUCGUAAAACUCUGUUGUCAGAGAAGAACAAGUUGGAGAGUAACUGCUCCAGCCUUGACGGUAUCUGACCAGGAAGCCACGGCUAACUACGUGCCAGCCGCUGC